AAUGAAUAAAAUAAAGGUCUGUUAACUACAAAUAUUAAUAUUUUUUAAAAAACAGGUAUUCUGACUUGGGAAAACAAUGCAAACCUUCUAUAAGUACUAGGUAUUGGACCCAGGGGCACUUAGCUACUGAGCCACAUUCCCAGCCCUUUUUAUUUUGAGACAGGGUCUCACUACAUUGCUGAGGCUGGUCUUGAAUUUAUGAUCUGCCUGCCUCAGCCUCCCAAGUUGCUGGGAUUACAGGCGUGUGUCACCAUGCCCAGCUGCUGUAAUUAUUGAUAAAGGAAACAGCUGGCUGGCACUGGGGGAGAAUGAAUAACUUUCAGGAACUAAGUUGCUUUGGGAGACAAAGAUCAGAAACCAAACUUAGUUUCUUCAAUUCCUUGUAGGGUUAGAAUAGAAUAACAAUACACUCAUAGCAUCCAGUUUGACUUUUUUCUGUCCCAUCAUGUGAAUUUCAUCUGUCCCUUGUAGUCUAGAAGCCCGAAGAACAAGCCAUCUGAAUGUGAUGGUAGAAAAGACAGUUAAAGCUGCCAAUAGGGAAUCAUCCAUUUUCCCUACACUCCAAACACUUACUAUAGUGUUAUGCACCCUGUGGGUGCUCACUACAAACCUGGAACAAAUAGAAGGUACUGCUGUGGUCCCAAAUACCACUUUGUGUCAUCUACCCUUUACCCUCAUGGCAGGGUAGAUGGGAACAACUGUGAUCAAUGGAGCUACCAAUCUACCACGCUUACACACAUUCAGCUGUAUACAAUUAAAAGCAACUCUUCAAACAAGUGUCAUUACUCAUCUUUAUAACCCAAUAGUAUUGCAUUAAUUGCCCUUAAGUUCAUAGUAGUAUGAAUGAGCCCUGUAAGGUACAAGUUAAACAGACCCUAUCUUUAUCCUCACAACGGAAAACAAAUAACAUUCACAUGGACAAAUAAGUAUAUAGUUGCUGCAGACAAAGAAAUCUAGAAAGCUAGGUAGUAAAACUACAUAAAUGUUAAGGUCUAAUGUAUUAGUGUUUGCUACAAGAAAAAUCUGAGGUAUUUUCUUCAGGAAGCAGAAAGUAUUCAAAAGAGGGGAGGAUGUUGAGAGCCACAGCCGAAGGGGCCCCAGCAAACUUCCAGCUGCCACCUGAUGAUUGGCUCACAGCGGCCCAGCAACAUCUAGCUGAUUGGCUCCUCUGCGGUGAUGCUCAUUGGGCUGUUUCCCUGCCCUUUCAGACCACGGAGCUGCUCAUUGGGGGACUUUUUUGGCUCCGCCCACGUGACCCAGCCAAUCCGCCUCAAGAGCAGGAGGAUUGUGGGAGGUGGGGAGAAGCUUGGGUGGGAGAGAGAGGCUUGUGGAAAGCCUGUGGUGGCAGUUGAGGCUCUGAGGGUUUUUCCUGAGAGGCUGUUUUGUUUGGCGUGUGUGGUUCUAAAAAUAAAGUUAGUUUCUUUUGACAAGUGGCUCCUGAUUGUGCCCAGCCAGACUGCGGCAGGAGGAUACUGGGUAAAUUAGGGUGGUAUGAACAGUGGGAAAAUGGUGGAGCAAAGAGCAAAAGACAGAACAUAAGGAAGGUUAGAUAAAGCUUGGAGCAGCAAAAACUUUACAGAUAGUAUGACAUGGCUCUGCAACAGGCAGAGUAUUGAGAGCCGCAGCAGAAACGGCCACAACAAACUUCCAGCUGAUUGGCUCCUCUGCGGUGAUGCUCAUUGGGCUGUUUCCCUGCCCUUUCAAACCACGGAGAUGCUCAUUGGGGGACUCUUUUGGCUCCGCCCACGCGACUCAGCAAAUCCGCCUCAAGAGCGGGACCUAGGAGUCCCGUUGAGGUGCUGGCAGGAAGUGCUCUGGGGGAAUUCCUGGAGAGCUCCCAUGUGGUAAGGCGUGGGUGCUAAAAAUAAACUUCGUUCUUGGUGAAUUGUGCCCAGCCAGACUGCUGCACAGAGAAUCACCCUGACUGAAACAUGGAGUGCCAGAGGUAGACCAUAAGGUGGUCCACUCAUUAUGUGCAGCAAACCAAACCAGGUACUCGGCUGUGAUUUUUUUUUUUUUGGGGGGGGGUACCAGUUAUUGAACCCAGGGGCACUUAGCCACUGAGCCACAUUCCUAGCCCUUUUUUUAUUUUAGUCUAAGUUGCUUAGGGCCUCACUACGUUGCUGAGGCUGGUCUUGAAUUUAUGAUCCUCCUGCCUCAGCCUCCCAAGUUGCUGGGAUUACAGGCAUGGGUCACCAUACCCAACUGCUAUAAUCAUUGACAAGGAAACAGAUGGCUGGCACUGGGGGAGAAUGAACAACUUUCAGGGACUAAGCUGCUUUGGGAGACAAAGGUCAGAAACCAGUAUUUGCUGAAGACACUUUGAUGAGCAGAUCACAGGAAAGAUGACACUGGCCAGAUGGCCAAGACCUGGGGUAAAUAACUAUUUUUUAACAUUCAUGUUUAAUUGGAACCCUUUGAAUGGAUUGAGAUCUGGGAGAUCAGUAGGAAGACAGAAUAUUCUUUAAUUCAUAUCUUAUUGUGUUAGAGUUUAUAAUUAGAGCUCUAGUGUUUAAGAAUCCUAGUACAAAGAACAGCCUACAUUCAUUGCCAAUUAAAAUAAAAGAACAAGAAACACCAGUCUAAAGACGUGCCUCUGAAUCUGAGAUGGUUUAAGAAGUGUGCUGUAACGUCAAGAAAAGAGAUUUUUCUUUAGUAUAUGUAUAAUCUCGUGAAAAAAAGCAUUGGUUUGGGUAUUAUUGGAUACAAAUUCUGGUUCCAGAUGUCUUAUAAGUUAACUGUUCCCUC
This 2748-nucleotide long non-coding RNA is filed under the name Marmota monax (woodchuck). The record is from RNAcentral. Lineage: Eukaryota; Metazoa; Chordata; Mammalia; Rodentia; Sciuridae.